RNAcentral lists this ribosomal RNA (2568 nucleotides) under Triticum aestivum (bread wheat). RNAcentral's name for it is "partial small subunit ribosomal RNA". The record is from RNAcentral. Lineage: Eukaryota; Viridiplantae; Streptophyta; Magnoliopsida; Poales; Poaceae.
GAUGGUAUGGCAGGAUGUGUGCAGAAAAGAUCAUAAAACAAAAGUAGUAGUAUAAUAAGGUCCUCGUGGCUUCUUCGGUCGCCGUAACGGUUUGCUUGUUCUGCUCCGUCGCUCGCCGCCUAAACGCAGGGGUCGCCACUUCUAGGGGCGCCACUGGCCGCCGGAGCAGUGGGGUGCGUCGCAGCGCGGCUGCCGGAGGCCAUCGCGGUAGUAGUCCAAGCUAAGCGACAAGGGUGGCCGCGGACCGGACUAAACCACGCUGCCGCCGCCGCCGAGCUAAGCCACGCCGCCGUCGAACUAAGCGCCUCUGACGCCGGGCUAACGCUGCCGCACGUCUCAGGGGCGAGUCGCAGCCGGCACGCUCCCUCGCCGCUCCACUGCACGUCACCGCCAGACGAGGAGCAGCGCGUGCACGUCAGUGCGCCCCUAGUCCGUGGCCUAACGUCUGACGUCAUUGGAUGUCUAAAGACACCACCGUUAAAGAGCAACGAACACAUUGUAAUAAGAGAUGUCUUCAUUUCUUAUAUACCCGACUGAAACCGUAAAGUACCCUCCAAAACUUCUACUACUUGGCGGUAGUUUUGCCCGUUCUCGUAGGAGUCAUCUUAGUCGUUGAAACAGUCUGUAGGGGACAAUAAGCUUUGGGUGAUUAGGAAACCCUCCAUGUUACCGAUCUGGAAACUGAAGGGUUCCCUUUCUUCAAUACCAACCGAGAUUUCCAAAUUAAUUCUCCCUACUUAAACACUCCUAUUAGUGUUUUAGAGACAUAUGAGAUCCUAUACUUUUUUGACCUCGACAAGAACUCCUUCUUAGUCCAUAUUUUGACGUAAGGGGUGGUCACUUACAAAAGUCUUUCGUCCACGAACUACCCUUAACCCUGUCACGUCAUCAAUGGAACUUGUGUGAACUAGAAGACCUGCUUUUGUAACACUUCAGACGUCAUAAAAACAAUAACCUCGUCUUUAAAAAACUUGAAGACUCUUUACCGUUACAGUACCCACGAUACUUCUGCGACGUUUCACUCUAGAGGGGGGAACCGUAAUUGUCUUUUUCUCAAGUACUUUACCGUUCAACGAAUUAAAGAAGAGGCGUUUUACAGAACCAACCAAAAAGUUUCGGACCUUAACUUAGAAGAUUGAGUGCCAAAUUCGAGGAUCUCCUUGACGUUUUCCACGAGGGGGGAUGGUAAUACCAUGGACUCUCCUCCAAUCUCUUAAAUCAACUUGUCCGUGAAUGACAUGUUGCACUUCGAACAAUAGAGGUAUUAAGACAACUACCGGGCAGUGAGAUAUAGCUAGUAGUGACACCCUCUCUAGUCUAUGGUAGAGUUCGCGACGUCCAAAACACACGUGUGGCACUGCUUCAUACCAAAGAGGUUAAAAGCUUGUUACCCUUCAUAAAUCGUAGCCGUAGUUUACUAUUUUGACGUCAGUAUACCUUCCAACUACUUCUACCUCUUGAUAACGACUUCGUAUGUAACUGACCAGUACUCUUUGGUCACUACUACCAACGUACCUCGGGACUACUAACGGUCGAAGAGUGUACACCUUACCUUCUUCAGUAGGCCGCGACCCUACAACUUAGACCGCUUACAUAUGUACAAAUACUUUUUAGACCGCAACCAGACAACAGUACACCAACCAAAGGUCUACCUUUCGUUUAUAACAGACCAAAUUUACUAGUUUCGGAAACGAACACCCUAAAUCUACCUUUUGUUCGUCUAACGACCCUUCCCGUCUCCAGUUGCUUUUGUAGACUGAAACGACAGAGUUUUCUACCGUUUGAAUAUUAUUCGUGGUCAUCUCUAAGGCGUUAAGACAAUAAGUUAUCCCUGUGUUUUGUCCUCUCCGACUAACUUCUCCUCGUAUGUCAGUGAAGUAAAAGAGAAAGCCUUCUACCGCUAAAGAACGAACAUUUAGAAUAUUUACUCGUCUAAGUAAACACCUUGUAUUCCUUACUAGGGUAAGUUCAAUUUGUCAUGUGACCGGUAUUCGCGUCGGCCAAACACUAUUCCAGUACAAAGCCACCUAGACUCGUCCGGAAAUAACGGUCACCUUCGCUUCUGCGUUUCCAGAUAUAUACCGUGUCUCGAUCACCUCUACAAUAGCUCUGGGACAGACCGGUGAGCCCACGCCAGUUGACGCAUUCGACCUUGGGAUGUUUAGGUGUAUACGAACGUAGACGCUCACUACUAGUAUGGUAAGCGUAUACCCCCGAUUUCUUUCGGUGGCACUUCGCUUCCCUGCGUCCGUCGUCGUCGCCGUCAUUACCCUAGGUGUACUUGCCGUCACGGUUGCCGUUGCCAAAACAAGUGGUCACGUUGCCUUCGGCGUCGUUCACUGUUACUGUACGUCGCGAAACGAAAGGAAGGAGGUCCUUCCUGUGGGACCAGGUCGUGGCCACAUCCCCCCCUCGCCUUUUGGACGAACCAAAAUACGUGGCGGAGGGAACAAGGUAGCACACAGUGUUGACAGUGUAAAUAAAGAGUUAAGUUUCUACCUGUGUUUAACUUUAUAACAAACCGCGAAUUUUAUCGAAAGAAAGGAGAUUAAAACACUACCAGCACUA